UACGUAGGGGGCAAGCGUUAUCCGGAUUUACUGGGUGUAAAGGGAGCGCAGGUGGCAGUAUAAGUCAGAUGUGAAAGCCCAGGGCUCAACCCUGGGACUGCAUUUGAAACUAUACUGCUAGAGUGCAGGAGAGGUAAGUGGAAUUCCUAGUGUAGCGGUGAAAUGCGUAGAUAUUAGGAGGAACACCAGUGGCGAAGGCGGCUUACUGGACUGUAACUGACACUGAGGCUCGAAAGCGUGGGGAGCAAACAGG
Molecule: ribosomal RNA, 253 nt
Filed under: uncultured bacterium
Lineage: Bacteria
Description: partial 16S ribosomal RNA
Rfam family: Bacterial small subunit ribosomal RNA
Source: RNAcentral